GGUGAGGAUCCCCAGUUUGAAGGGAGGGGACUAGGGUCAGGUAGGAAAAUGGGGCCUUUAUGAAGAAAGGGGAGGUUAUUUGGGCCACUCCUCUGGAGGGAUAGAGGGCUCCAGGAAGAUCUGCAUCCCCAAAACCUGGAAACAAGACUGUUCUUUAAGAAUAAAAAUCCACAUGGGGCUUGAGGCCAAGAACAGCCCUUGUUGCCACCAACAUGGAGACUUUGUACCAUAUCCCAUUCUUAGUGCUCGAGUGUUCCAACCUGAAGUUGAAGAAGCCACCCUGGCUGCACAUGCCAUCAGCCAUGACUGUGUAUGCUCUGGUGGUGGUGUCUUACUUCCUCAUGACUGGAGGAAUAAUUAUAUGAUAUUGUUGAACCCCCAAGUAUUGGCUGAUGAACGUGGGCAUCAGAGGCCAGUAGCUUUCUUGGCCUACAAAGUAAAUGGACAGUAUAUUAUGGAAGGAUUUGCAUCCAGCUUCCUGUUUACAAUGGGAGGUUUAGGUUUCAUAAUGCUGGACCAGUCGAAUGCACCAAAUAUCCCAAAACUCAAUCGAUUUUUUUUCUUCUAUUCAUUGGAUUCGUCUGUGUCCUACUGAGUUUUUUCAUGGCUGGAGUAUUCAUGUGAAUGAAACUGCCGGGCUAUCUGAUGGGUUAGAGCGCCUUUAAGAAGAAAUCAGUGGAUACUGGAUUUGCUCCUGUCAAUGAAGUUCUAAAGGCUGUACCAAUCCUCCAAUAUGAAAUGUGGGAAAGAAUGAAGAGCAGCAGUAAAAGAAAUACCUAGCGAAAAAAACAGGAAGCAUAUUGAAGCUCGGACUAGAAUUUCUUCUUGGUAUCAGAGAGACAAGUUUAUCACAGUAUUUUUUUUUUUCCUGCUGACCUAUUGAUAAUACCAACAAUGUUGAGUGGCAUUUUCUUCUUAGUUUUUAAUUUCUUAAAGAAAAUAUACUCCAUAUCUGCAGGGAAAAAAAUAAAAAUCCACACCUGAGAACAGAUCCAUACAACCUGCUUACAAAGAACAGCUCCUGUGCUACCUGAGGCUGAUUUAUUUGAAGAACAAAAGGAAGAGAGACAAUUUAGUGUAGACAAGUGCUAUUCAAUAGAACUUUUUGCAGCAGUGGAAAUAUCCAUAAAUCUGCAGUAUCCAACCAAACUAGCCACAGACAGCUGCUGAGCAAUUGAAAUGAAGCUGGCACAACUAAGGAACUGAAGUUCUUAUUUUAAUUCAACUUCAAAUGGUCACAUGUCACUAGUGACUACCACACUGGACAGUGCAGGUGUAGACGGAGUUCAGAUCAGACUCCUGAAACUUAAUGGCUCUAACCUUAGGCAAGUUACGUUAACAUCUAAGCCUCAAUCCCUCCAAGUAGAAUGGGUGCACCUAAAUCAUAGGGUUGUCCUGUUGUCCUGAGCAACAUUAUGUAAAGCACUUAGCCCAGAGCCUAGCACAUAGUUAUCUAGAGUUGGGAACGUCACUCCUGGUGUGCAUGUCCAGACCCUACCCGGGAGAAGGGCCUAACCUAUGACUUUAGAACCCUCAGUUGCAGGUGUGCAUGUUCCAGCCAACACUCCACUCUGAGUGCAGGCUCAUCAGGACACCAUAUGGUUGUAAACUGGCUGCCAUGUCCCAAUCCUUCCAGCUCUUGAGGGUCAGUUCUCACCUUAUGAACAAAUUAACAGGCUCUGGACCUAUAAGAUCAAGGACCACUGCGCCCCCUGGCCACCCCACCGCCCCCCCCCAACUUUGAUCUGAUUGACUUUGGCUUCCACCUACUGUUUAAAAUGUGUAUGUUGGGGGAGUAGGGACAGCACGGGGGAGGGGUUUACUUUCCUGACUCUAGCCCAGGACAUUUGGUGUUUUUGAAUAGGCACCAUUCAGCCUUGCUUCAGUAUUAGGAAUAAGAUACUUUUUAUUCCAUCCUCUAUGGAGACAAAAAGCUGCUCCUCCUUUGAGUACUGACCUACAUAGAUUUCCAUUUCUCUCUUCAGCCUCAGGCCAAACAAACAACCGGACAGGGCAGCAGAACAAGGCUGUCUCCUCAGGAUCCUGCCAAAGGCACUGUCCUCUCCAACCUGGACCCAGCCCCACUUGCCCUUAUUGGUUGCUUACACCCAGAGUGCACACUCACAGGAAAGGGCCUCUGCUGGCUGCAGGUGAUCAUCUUGUCCCUUCUCUGCCUUAGUGUGUGUUAUUGCCAUUUCAAUGUCAGUGGUUUUUUAUGUAUUUUCUUCCAGUCUUUGCUGCUGAGAUCUGACUGUAUAUACUAUUUUGUAUCCUUUCAUGUAUUUCUUUCAUGUAUUUCAAUGCAGCCCUCAACAUCAUCAUCAUAAAUCUCUCCAGCAGAAUGCUGGAGGCCUCCCUCUUCUGAACCUCUACAUGCUGCUGGCUGGCAUCAAGCAGAGGUCAUCACUGGGUGCUGAACAGGUCAGCUCCCUAGGGCAAUGUGAGCAAAGUGUUGUGGCUCAUCCUCGAUCCUUUAUGCCCUUUUGGCAAGAUUCCUUUCUCUUCUCAGUCACAGCAGAUGGACACAUAAUCUUGUUCUCCCAGGGGCUGCAUUCUCAGUAGUCUUUUCCCUGCUCCUUGGGCGCCUGGUCAGGGAGGUUUGUACAAGCCUGCGCACACACAGCAGUCUGUCACGAGGCUGGGCCAACCUUUUUUUUUUUUUUAAACAGACUCUUGCUCUGUCAUUCAGGCUGGAGUGCAGUGGUGCAAUCUCAGCUCACUGCAACCUCUGCUUCCCGGGUUCACAAGCAAUUCUCAUGCCUCAGCCUCCCAAGUGGCUAAGACUUAACAAACAGGCACACACCAUCACUCGCAGCUAAGUUUUUGUAUUUUUAGUAGAGACCACGUUUCGCCAUGUUGUCCAGACUGGUCUCAAACUCCUGGCCUCGAGUCAUCCACGCACCUCAGCCUCCCAAAGUGCUGGGAUUACAGGCGUGAGCCAUGGCGCCCAGCCUGGGCCAACCUUUUCUGAGCCAUAGUCCAGCUGUACUACAGCUGUAUCCAAAAGGUACCAUGUAUCUCCCAGGGUAACCUGAAGACCUAACUGGGCAUACUAACUGUCCUCAGAUUUCAGUUCUUUAAGGCCCAUCUCUUCUAGAUCAGUGUAAAUAUCUGAACUCACUUGGUGCUUCAACCCAAUUGGUCUUGGGAUUCAUCCUUUACCUACCCAGCUCUCAUUCUCUUCUAGGUUGUUCCAUGGCCUCUUCCAUAUAUUACAUUUGUGGUCUUGAGCAAGUUAGUUAGUUACAACAACACUGAGCAUCUUGACCAAGGUCACUUGGCCCAACCACAGGCUAAUCCCAGGCCAUGUGCACAUCCCAGGAUUAGCUUGUGGUUUAUCAGUUGUCAAUUUUUUUUUUUUUUUAAUACAGGGUCUCACUCUGUCACCCUGGCUGGAGUGCGGUGGCGAUCAGAGCUCACUGCAGCUUCAAUCUCCUGGCUCAAGUGAUCCUCCCACCUCAGCCUUCCAAGUAGUUGGGACUACCCACAUGCACCACCAUGCACGGCUAAUUUUUUGGUUUUUUUGGGUUUUUUGUUUGUGUUUUUUUUUGUUUUGUUUUUUGAGACAGAGUCUCGCUCUUUCGCCCAGGCCGGACUGCAGUGGCGCAAUCUUGGCUCACUGCAAGCUCCGCCUCCCGGGUUCACACCAUUCUCCUGCCUCAGCCUCCCGAGUAGCUGGGACUACAGGCACCCGCCACCACGCCUGGCUAAUUUUUUGUAUUUUUAGUAGAGACGGGGUUUCACCGUGUUAGCCAGGGUGGUCUCGAUCUCCUGACCUCGUGAUCUGCCCGCCUCAGCCUCCCAAAGUGCUGGGAUUACAGGCGUGAGCCACCGCACCCGGCCCUUGUUUGUUUUUUUAAGUAGAGACAAGGUCUCACUACAUUGCCCAGGUUGGUCUCAAACUCCUGAGCUCAAGCAGUCUUCCCACCUUGGCCUCCUAAAGUGUGGAAAUUAUAGCAUGAACCACUGUCAGGCUCUUUUGUCAGUCCUAUCAACCUCUAACAUCCUCGCACCAGACAGGACAGGUGUCUGUAUUGAAACUUUAUUACAAAAUUAUAAAGCAGAGCUCUGUAACAAAAUAAUACACAUUUGGGUUUGCUUUAACCUCCAAGUAAGUCUGAGAAAAUCUUAAUAAAAGCCACUUGAAGUAACAAUUCACAUCCAAGAGAUUUCCACAAAUUUAUACAAUGUAUAUUGAGCACUAGUUCCUGUACAGCUUAUUCUUAUUAGUUUGGAUCCAACUAUUCCAAUGUAUUAUGAACCAGUCAGCUAUCUGUCUUUUGAAACAAGUCUUAACUGAAAUCUCAGAGUAAUCAGCAAAAGCUACGGAAUAAUUCUAAGAAUUAGAUGUUUCCAUAUCAUUAAAACCAAGGAUCCAUGAGGGGCAGAAGGGAGGAUUCAAAGAUUUAAAAAAAAUCAAAUUUUAGACCUUGGUUAAAUAUUAACUGGAAUGGGAUCUUGGAACUCCCAACUUUAAUUUGGUGUAAUAAAAAUGAUGCAAAAAAAAAAAAAAUCAGGGUUGUUUGACACCUUUUUUCCUAAAGGGAAACCUUCACCAAAAGGGGAUAAAAGAUUUAAAGGCAAAAUGAGUAAACAACCUCAGUUUUAAUUCUUACUGAGGUUACUAACCAGCUAUCAGUAUAUUAUUUUCGAUUU
Molecule: long non-coding RNA, 4656 nt
Filed under: Homo sapiens (human)
Lineage: Eukaryota; Metazoa; Chordata; Mammalia; Primates; Hominidae
Description: non-protein coding lnc-LIG3-1:2
Source: RNAcentral